RNAcentral lists this long non-coding RNA (250 nucleotides) under Pan troglodytes (chimpanzee). Its description in RNAcentral is "long non-coding RNA NONPTRT001169". Lineage: Eukaryota; Metazoa; Chordata; Mammalia; Primates; Hominidae. The record is from RNAcentral.
GUAUUCAAAAAUGAAGAUGUAAAACCUUAUCUGUGUUGGAGGAUGAAAGCAAAUUUUUUGGCUGCUUCUCGGAUUUGAUACCAUAAGUUCACUCUCAUUGAAGGGACCCGUAUUCCUUUGGGUUCAUCCUCUCAGAUCCCUUUGGUAACAAUAAUUCAUGGUCCAGCAAUAUCUCAGUAAAAGCAUCAUCAUAUCAUGAUGAAGAUGAUGAUGAUGAUGAUGAUAUAAAUAAAACAAAAAACCCACCCAC